GAUAAAUCUUAAGGGGGUACUAGGAUAAAAUUCAAAGAGACAAAAUAAAUUUGAAAGAAACGACGGGAGUUGAAUUUACAAAAAAAUUCAUUCACUUCAACAACUCUAUAGCAACUGUUUUCUCUUCUCCUUUCUCUUUUUAUUUGUUUUUUUUUCUUUUUCGGAAGGAGUAUGUUUUGACAUGUAUUGAAACCCUUCUAUUUUUUUUCUUUUCUUUUUUUGUCAACUUCUGAAAUAUUCCAAACAUAAUUAUUCAAUCCUACAUAACUCCAAACAAGACUCUUUCAACCCUUUGAAUAGGGUCAUAACAUUGUUUUUUACUUUUUGGCUUGUAAUGAGUUUAAAUAAAAAAAGGGAUAAUGGGAUCAAGAUAGUUUCAAACAAGGGAUGAUAUUAUUUUAGGAUUGGCUUUUUGGCUAACUAGCUAAAAAAAAUUGUCUUUAUCAUAUCAGUGUGCACAAGUAAACAACAUCAUCAACAAGAAUCAAUUCAAGUUCUAGAGACUAACAGACAAGAAUGAAUCAUACAAGAAAUAAAGAGAUGAUUUUUUUUUAUGUUAUCCAUAUAAGUCUCAAAGCUCACAAGGGCUAAUGAUCUACUGUUAAAGAUGUACAAUUUAGAGUUUAGUCUUACCUAUCAUACUAAAAAUGCACAUCAAAUUUUUUACAUCACACCACAAGACUUUAGUCAAGAGAACUAAGAAAAAUACUCAUAAUUGUAACUCAAAAACCAAAGGAAAAAUUAUACAUUUUUUUUCUUAUUUAAGAAAUCAAACAAAAACCAAAAACAGAGAAAAACUAAAAACAAAAUAAAGAAAACAAAACAAA
This 827-nucleotide long non-coding RNA is filed under the name Lathyrus oleraceus (garden pea). Its description in RNAcentral is "Pisum sativum (pea) long non-coding RNA (PSAT_LNC027630)". The record is from RNAcentral. Lineage: Eukaryota; Viridiplantae; Streptophyta; Magnoliopsida; Fabales; Fabaceae.